AUCAAUCAAUCUUACUUAAAUGAAUAAGAGGAAAGUGAGUGGUGUGUUGUGAGCAGCUUGGAGAAGAAGUGACCUCUACAUUUAAACAUUGAUCGCCUUCAGUCGCCAUGAUCGGAAUUCCUUCCAUGUUUACGUCCAGUCGUGUCCUGAACCAGGGCCGCUAAGUGCUGGGUGCCAGUGACAAGGGUGGCUGUUGUUAGGGGGAACUAGGCCAUUCAUGGAUAAGGUGACGUGAAGCGAAGGGUUUGUUGGGUGGUCAGCAGUCGGGUUUUCAGAAAUAUCGAGGCACAAUGAACCACCUAACAUUGCAUUCAUGAUAGGGGUGUUCCUGGACAUCCAAGAAGUCUUUGACAUGACAUGAUGACAUGUUAUCCUCAUGAAACUCUACGCUCACAGUUUCAGAGGUAACUUGCCCAUUUUUUUGAUAAUUUCCUUCAGGACAGAACAUUCUCUGUCAAGCUUCUUGGUAAUGUUAUCUCGGACAUUUUCAUCCAGGAAAACAGGGUGCCACAGUGGGCAACCUCACAACAGCAGCAGACCAGCGGUACAAUAUGGGGCAUGCACAGACAAGGGUCAUUGUGGAGCAGGUACUGCCUUUUCACCCCAGCAUCCAUGUGUCAACCCUGAACCUGCAGUACAGCAAAUAGCUCAGCAUGUUUCAGCCAGAGUUGCUCAGCAGGAAAUCAUCCAAAACUUCUACCAACAAUAAAAGGAGAAAGACAGAUUGCUGAUGAGACUCUAACACCUCCUAUUGUGCCUGCCACCACCUCUCAUUGUGCCUGCCACCAUCUCUUGUUGUGCCUGCCACCAGCUCCUGUUGUGCCUACCACCACCUCCUGUUGUGUCUGCACUAGCCCACACAGGUCUCACAACUUCAGAUUUACUAUAAAUUGCUCAAGUUCUGCCUGCAAUAAAUUUAAGAUGAAAA
Long non-coding RNA from Scylla paramamosain (green mud crab), 928 nucleotides. RefSeq lists it as uncharacterized. NCBI's taxonomy places the organism in Eukaryota, Metazoa, Arthropoda, Malacostraca, Decapoda, Portunidae. The transcript has 5 exons. The record is from RefSeq and is a predicted model, not a curated record.